UUUUGGACAAUGGGGGAAACACUGAUACAGACAUCGGGCGUGUAUGAUGAAUGCAUUCGGUAUGUAAAGUACUUUUGGUAUAGAAGAAAAGGUAUCGCCUAAUACGAGAUACUGCUGACGGUAUCUGCAGAAUAAGCACCGGCUAUCUAAGUGCAAGCAGCCGUGGUAAUACGUAGGAUGCAAGCGUUAAUCGGAAUUAUUGGGCGUAAAGGGUGUUGAGGCGGUUCGGUAAGAAAGAUGUGAAAUCACAGGGCUCAACCUUGGAACUGCAUUUUUAACUGCCGAGCUAGAGUAUGUCAGAGGAGGGUAGAAUUCCACGUGUAGCAGUGAAAUGCGUAGAUAUGUGGAGGAAUACCGAUGGCGAAGGCAGCACCCUGGGAUAAUACUGACGCUCAGACACGAAAGCGUGGGGAGCAAACAG
This 421-nucleotide ribosomal RNA is filed under the name uncultured bacterium. RNAcentral's name for it is "partial 16S ribosomal RNA". It matches the Rfam family "Bacterial small subunit ribosomal RNA", at positions 362 to 775 of the family's 1533-position model. The record is from RNAcentral.